RNAcentral lists this microRNA precursor (103 nucleotides) under Marmota monax (woodchuck). Lineage: Eukaryota; Metazoa; Chordata; Mammalia; Rodentia; Sciuridae. The record is from RNAcentral.
AGAGAAAUAGCUGGGUCAAAUGGUGGUUCCAUUUCAAGUUUUUGAAGGAAUCUCCAUAUUGCUUUCCAUAUUGGCUGCACCAAUUUGCAGUCCCACCAGCAAU